AGAGUUUGAUCCUGGCUCAGGAUGAACGCUAGCGGCAGGCCUAAUACAUGCAAGUCGAACGGGCUGGAGUAGCAAUACUCCAGUUAGUGGCGCACGGGUGCGUAACGCGUAUGCAACCUACCUUUUAUUGGGGGAUAGCCCGAAGAAAUUCGGAUUAAUACCGCAUAAUACUGUUUGAGGGCAUCUGAAGACAGUUAAAGCUUUGGCGAUAAAAGAUGGGCAUGCGUGACAUUAGCUAGUUGGUGGUGGUAACGGCACACCAAGGCGACGAUGUCUAGGGGUUCUGAGAGGAUGAUCCCCCACACUGGUACUGAGAUACGGACCAGACUCCUACGGGAGGCAGCAGUAGGGAAUAUUGGGCAAUGGCGGAAACGCUGACCCAGCCAUGCCGCGUGCAGGAUGAAGGCCUUCUGGGUUGUAAACUGCUUUUACCAGGGAAGAAACUACCUUUGCGAAGGGAACUGACGGUACCUGGUGAAUAAGCACCGGCUAACUCCGUGCCAGCAGCCGCGGUAAUACGGAGGGUGCAAGCGUUGUCCGGAUUUAUUGGGUUUAAAGGGUGCGUAGGCGGCUUGAUAAGUCCGUGGUGAAAGCCAACAGCUCAACUGUUGAACUGCCAUGGAUACUGUCAGGCUUGAGUACAGACGAGGUAGGCGGAAUGGAUCGUGUAGCGGUGAAAUGCAUAGAUACGAUCCAGAACUCCGAUUGCGAAGGCAGCUUACUAGGCUGUAACUGACGCUGAGGCACGAAAGCGUGGGGAGCGAACAGGAUUAGAUACCCUAGUAGUCC
RNAcentral lists this ribosomal RNA (789 nucleotides) under uncultured bacterium. RNAcentral's name for it is "bacterial SSU rRNA". It matches the Rfam family "Bacterial small subunit ribosomal RNA", at positions 8 to 796 of the family's 1533-position model. The record is from RNAcentral.